AAUUUCAGAAAUCCUAAAAUUCCUCUCUCAGUCCCUCGCUCUCCCUCCCACGCUCACCCUCUCUCCUCCGGCGAGUUCAUUGGCCACCGGAAAUCCCCUCUCAGUCUCUCGCUCUCCCUCCCGUGCUCACCCUCUCUCUCCUCCGGCGAGUUCUUCGGCCACCGGAAAUUCUCUCUCACUCCAGCACUCUCCCUCCCGCGCUCACCCUCUCUCUCCUCCGGCGAGUUCUUCGGCACCGGCGAAGCUGUCCGUCCACUGUCUCUCUCACUCCGGCGACGUCUACAGCCACCGGCGAAGCUCCUGUCUCUCUCUCACUCCGGCGAAGUCGAAGGCUCUCUCUCUCCUCCACCGGUGGUAAGUGGAAAAGUUACUCAUUAUAGCUGCCUAAAUGGACAAGGAUGGUGAAGUUGAAUCUUUGUAUACACGUAUUCCAAAUGAUGAAGAUUUUUUGGAGCAAGAUUGCCCUCAAAUAGAUGUGGAUGAAGAAGUUGAAGAACCAAAUGUCUUAAGGAUCACUUGUUCGGAUGAAGAGUUGGAUGGGGAUGAAAGUUCGAAUGAAGAGUUGGAUGGAGAUGAAAAAUUUGAAGAAACAGAGAUGAUCGGUGGGAAUGAAAAAGUUGAAGAACCAAGGAUGAUCGGUGGGAAUGAAAAAGUUGA
Corylus avellana is the source of this 657-nucleotide non-coding RNA. NCBI's taxonomy places the organism in Eukaryota, Viridiplantae, Streptophyta, Magnoliopsida, Fagales, Betulaceae. The record is from RefSeq and is a predicted model, not a curated record.